CCCGCUGAAUUUAAGCAUAUUACUAAGCGGAGGAAAAGAAACUAACCAGGAUUCCCUCAGUAACGGCGAGUGAAGAGGGAAGAGCCCAGCGCCGAAUCCCCGUCCGUCCGGCGGGCGCGGGAAAUGUGGCGUACGGAAGACCGCCUCUCCCGGCGUCGACCGGGGGCCUGAGUCCUUCUGAUCGAGGCUCAGCCUUUGGACGGUGUGAGGCCGGUAACGGCCCCCGUCGCGCCGGGGUCCGGUCUUCACGGAGUCGGGUUGUUUGUGAAUGCAGCCCAAAGUGGGUGGUAAACUCCAUCUAAGGCUAAAUACCGGCACGAGACCGAUAGUCGACAAGUACCGUAAGG
RNAcentral lists this non-coding RNA (347 nucleotides) under Lepisosteus oculatus (spotted gar). RNAcentral's name for it is "Eukaryotic large subunit ribosomal RNA". It matches the Rfam family "Eukaryotic large subunit ribosomal RNA", at positions 24 to 358 of the family's 3401-position model. Lineage: Eukaryota; Metazoa; Chordata; Actinopteri; Semionotiformes; Lepisosteidae. The record is from Rfam by way of RNAcentral.